Molecule: ribosomal RNA, 262 nt
Filed under: uncultured prokaryote
Description: partial 16S ribosomal RNA
Rfam family: Bacterial small subunit ribosomal RNA
Source: RNAcentral
UACGUAGGGUGCGAGCGUUGUCCGGAAUUACUGGGCGUAAAGAGCUCGUAGGUGGUUUGUCGCGUCGUCUGUGAAAUUCCGGGGCUUAACUUCGGGCGUGCAGGCGAUACGGGCAAUACUUGAGUGCUGUAGGGGAGACUGGAAUUCCUGGUGUAGCGGUGGAAUGCGCAGAUAUCAGGAGGAACACCGAUGGCGAAGGCAGGUCUCUGGGCCACUACUGACGCUGAGAAGCGAAAGCGUGGGUAGCAAACAGGAUUAGAUA